CCUACGGGGGGCAGCAGUGGGGAAUAUUGCACAAUGGGGGAAACCCUGAUGCAGCGACGCCGCGUGAGUGAAGAAGUAAUUCGUUAUGUAAAGCUCUAUCAGCAGGGAAGAAAAUGACGGUACCUGAGUAAGAAGCCACGGCUAACUACGUGCCAGCAGCCGCGGUAAUACGUAGGGGGCAAGCGUUAUCCGGAUUUACUGGGUGGAAAGGGAGCGUAGACGGCAGUGCAAGUCUGGAGUGAAAGGCGGGGGCUCAACCCCCGGACUGCUCUGGAAACUGUCCGGCUGGAGUGCAGGAGAGGUAAGUGGAAUUCCUAGUGUAGCGGUGAAAUGCGUAGAUAUUAGGAGGAACACCAGUGGCGAAGGCGGCUUACUGGACUGUAACUGACGUUGAGGCUCGAAAGCGUGGGGAGCAAACAGGAUUAGAUACCCCAGUAGUC
This 440-nucleotide ribosomal RNA is filed under the name uncultured bacterium. Its description in RNAcentral is "partial 16S ribosomal RNA". It matches the Rfam family "Bacterial small subunit ribosomal RNA", at positions 338 to 795 of the family's 1533-position model. The record is from RNAcentral.